GAAAAUAUAAAAAAGAAAUUAAUUCUAAAAGUCUAUUUUUCUAAAAAAGAUACAAUAUAUGAAUAAAAUUUU
Molecule: transfer RNA, 72 nt
Filed under: Ixodes rubicundus
Lineage: Eukaryota; Metazoa; Arthropoda; Arachnida; Ixodida; Ixodidae
Description: tRNA-Ser
Source: RNAcentral